UACGAAGGGGGCUAGCGUUGUUCGGAAUUACUGGGCGUAAAGCGCACGUAGGCGGCUUUGUAAGUUAGAGGUGAAAGCCCGGGGCUCAACUCCGGAAUUGCCUUUAAGACUGCAUCGCUAGAAUUGUGGAGAGGUAAGUGGAAUUCCGAGUGUAGAGGUGAAAUUCGUAGAUAUUCGGAAGAACACCAGUGGCGAAGGCGGCGACCUGGUCCUUGACUGACGCUGAGGCGCGAAAGCGUGGGGAGCAAACAGG
Molecule: ribosomal RNA, 253 nt
Filed under: uncultured bacterium
Lineage: Bacteria
Description: partial 16S ribosomal RNA
Rfam family: Bacterial small subunit ribosomal RNA
Source: RNAcentral